RNAcentral lists this long non-coding RNA (2437 nucleotides) under Homo sapiens (human). RNAcentral describes it as "HSALNT0304918". The record is from RNAcentral. Lineage: Eukaryota; Metazoa; Chordata; Mammalia; Primates; Hominidae.
UGUUUGUUUGUUUAGGCCCCAUGGGGGCUGUGAACUGGAGCUUCUAUUUAUUUAUUUAUUGUUUAGGCACCAUGGCCUACACUCCUUUAUUAGAGUGAGGGUCCCGAGGACCAGCCCCCAUAUAUGAUGGGUCCACUUGAGCCUCCUUAGGAGCCCCAUGAGGGAGUGAUGGCUUGGGUAGGGAGCCAGGGACCUUGCCCAGCCCGACACUGGAGCAGGAGAGCGGCCUCAGUCCCCACCCCAACCCCAGAAGAGGGCGGGGCGAGAACCGGAGUCAAAUCUUGGGCCGGGUCCAAGGGCCUGAGCGCCUGGUUUAGGCCGGAAAUGGUCUAGUUCUCAGAGGUGGUCCGAUCCCUAACCAGUCCCAGGCCCAGCCCCAGCCCAGCACCACCUGGAAGGUUCAAGUACAUGGAGGAGAGGAGUAAGGCGGACUUGGGCGUAUGGAGAAAGGGGUGAAGGGAGAAAGAGGACUUGCGCUCAGGAGGGAGCGUGGCCUACUGGUGGGAAAGCAGGCGUGGCCGCCUGUGCGGGAGGUUGCGGAUCCACAGUGGGCGAGACCAGGCCCCAGCCCCAUCAGGGCGCGGGGUGCGCAGCCAGGUGGUGCUCCAGCAGCGCCCAGUGAGAGGAGACCUUGCGGUAGACGGGGGAAGGGCGCGCGCUCUGGCCGCUGAGUGCGCAUGUGCAUAUUGAGCGAACUCUUCUGCGGGAAGGGCUUGGCGUAGACCGCGCACUGGAAGGCGUGCGCGCAGGUGUGCGUGACCAUGUGCUUGAAACGGCAGUAGCGCAGCGAGAAGGAUCGCCAUCACACGGCGCACUGGUGCGGCUUCUCCCCCGAGUGGAUGAACAUGUGCUUGGUGUCGUUUUUCCUUGAGCUGAACGUCUUGCAACAGUGGCCGCACGCAUAGGGCUGACCCCACAUUGGACACCGCUGCAUCCAUGUCCAUCACACAACACAGCUGCCGUUUCUUCUGCCUGCUUAUGGGAAAGUCCCCUCUUCUCCUCCGUUUUCUUCUCUUCCUGCCCUAUCACACCGUGCACUUCUCCCUUUCCUUAAAGAACCACCAUCAACUUUAGGAGGAGGGAAAGGGGUGGCUCUGGCAGGAAAAGCCAGAAUCCCCUCUAGCCAGCAGAGAGAGAGAGGAAUGGCUGCAUGUUUUCUCCCCCAGUCCAAGGCACUGGGUCUUGGCUGGGUUGAAGGUUCCAAGCUGCUCUCCUGCUGUGUCGGUGAGUUCUGGUCAACCUGCAACCUCCUGAUAUGGCCAUUGCAGUUCAUCGAGUCUUCAGGGACUCCCCAUGGCCUGGAGUACUUUGCCUUGCUUACACGGGAGAGGAGAAUGGAUUUAUAGAGAACAUCAUCUAAAUCCAACUUGACCAUUGUGUGGCCACACUUGCUAGAUUGCUAUAGUCUAAAUCUAGCAUUGUAGAAAGACGGGGGAGCUUGGAGCUGCACAAACCCAGGUCUGGAACUGGCUCCUUACCUUGGAAGGUGAAUGAUCCUGCCAGGACUCUUAGCCUCCCUGGGUCUCAAUUUCUUUAUCUGUUUCAUGGGAAUGAGGAUCUCUGCUGGGUGGUUGGGUGAUGUGGGGGCUGUGUGAAAACAGCUUGUCAAUACAAGCCAAAAUAGAAAUAUUUCUCCACAGAGUAUGAAGGUCAAAUGAGAGAAUACAUUUAAAUUAAAUGGAAAAUUAAAAUGGUAAAAAAUGCAAAGCUGUAUUGAAAGUUCCGAGCUUCUCUAUAAGGAGCUUUUUGACUAUGGAAGAAUCCUGUACUCGUUCCCCCUAAAUAUAAAAAAAAAGUUGAAGGAGGCAGAAGGGAGAGUGAUGCACGAUGGGCAAGGACUUCACCUGCUGUUGCUGGCUUUGAGGAUGGAGGAAGGAGGCCACAAACCUAGAAGCUGGAGCCCCUAGAAGCUAGAAAAGGCAGGGACCCGAUUCUUUCCUUGAGCCUCCAGAAGGGACACAGCCCCGCCAGCACCUUGACUUUAGCCUGGUGAGAUCCUCUUAGGACUUUUGGCAAUCAGAACUAUAAGACAGAAAUGGAAGCCACUGAGUCUGUAGCUGUUUGUUGCAGCAGCAAUAGAAAACUAAUGCAGGGCCCAAGAAAUCACUGGUGAUGAGAUCGGGAAAGUGGGCUCAGGAGGUCUGGAUCUGUGAUGAGAUCGGGAAAGUGGGCUCAAGAGGUCUGGAUCUGUGGUGAGAUGGGGGAAGUGGGCUCAGGAGGUCUGGAUCUGUGAUGAGAUGGGGAAAGUGGGCUCAGGAGGUCUGGAUCUGUGAUGAGAUGGGGGAAGUGGGCUCAGGAGGUCUGGAUCUGGGGUGGGGAUCUGGAGUGGAAGGGGAAUUCAUUUGUUCAUUGUCUAUCCUUUUGUAUUGAUUGAAUUUUUUAUAUAUAUAUGUGAAUUUUCACAAUAAAAUUUUUUUCCAAAAUAAAAUAAACAAAA